UACAGAGGUCCCAAGCGUUGUUCGGAUUCACUGGGCGUAAAGGGUGCGUAGGCGGCGGGGUAAGUCGGGUGUGAAAUCUCAGAGCUCAACUCUGAAACUGCACUCGAUACUGCUCUGCUUGAGGACUGGAGAGGAGACUGGAAUUCACGGUGUAGCAGUGAAAUGCGUAGAUAUCGUGAGGAAGACCAGUGGCGAAGGCGGGUCUCUGGGCCGAUACUGACGCUGAGGAGCGAAAGCGUGGGGAGCGAACAGG
RNAcentral lists this ribosomal RNA (253 nucleotides) under uncultured bacterium. Its description in RNAcentral is "partial 16S ribosomal RNA". It matches the Rfam family "Bacterial small subunit ribosomal RNA", at positions 524 to 776 of the family's 1533-position model. The record is from RNAcentral.